UGAUAAAGAAAGGAUUUAAACCAA
This 24-nucleotide transfer RNA is filed under the name Anolis humilis (humble anole). Its description in RNAcentral is "tRNA-Tyr". Lineage: Eukaryota; Metazoa; Chordata; Lepidosauria; Squamata; Anolidae. The record is from RNAcentral.